This 1424-nucleotide long non-coding RNA is filed under the name Ovis aries (sheep). RNAcentral describes it as "lncRNA (ENSOARG00000026712.1)". Lineage: Eukaryota; Metazoa; Chordata; Mammalia; Artiodactyla; Bovidae. The record is from RNAcentral.
CAACAUAGUUGUCAUUAGUGUAAGCAUUUCUUAUUUCAAAUAUUCACCAACAGAUUUGAGAAUAUAAGUGGUUUCCCAAAAACAUAAUAGUUAAGAACAAGGAGUUUAAACUAGAGAUUUAGAUUGAAAUACUGACAUUGGCAGUUACAACUGUGUGAUACUUUUGGCAAGUUAUUUUUCAUUAGUGAAAUAAGGGUAAAGCACUGACCUCAUAUAGUUGUAAAGAAUAGUACUCUGCCUCAAAUAUUAGGGAUUAUAAAAAUCAACAUUAUUGAGGCUUUCUCUAACAAGUAUUUCUCCUUUUUUCAGGAAGGAUUUUCUCAGGAUGCCCUCUUGAAAAUGUGCUAGCAUUGUUAUUCCUCAAGGAGAUGAGAAUUCCAGAUUGAGGGACCAGCCACAUGGAGGCAUAAAAGCAUGGGGCAUGUUCAGACAGUGCCAUGGAAACCACCACUAAAGCCGAGAUGGAGAAAGAAAGGACUCAUAUUAACAUCAUCAUUAUUGGACACAUAGAUUCAGGAUGUCUACAAAACUGGUGGUACUGGGACUGUCUCUGUGUGCUGAGUAGAGACUGCUGUUCUCAAACCUGGCGUACUCGUUACCUUUGCUCCAAACGACAUUACAACUGAAGGUAAAGUCUGUUGAAUCGCAUCAUGAGCUUUGAAUGUAGCUCUUCAUGGGGCUAAUGUAGACUUCAGUGUAAAGAAUGUGACUGUCAAAGAUACUCAUCAUAGCACUGUGGCUGGCGAUAGCAAAAAUGACCCACUAUUGGAAGAAGCUGGCUUCAACACUCCAGUGAUUACCCUAAAUCACCCCGGUCAUAUCAGUGCUGGCUAUGCACCUGUUGCUGAAUUGUCAGGUACCUCACAUCGCUUGCGAGUUUGCUGAGCUGAAAGAGAAGAUUGAUCACCACUCUGGUAAGAGGCUAAAAGAUGGCCUCAAAUUUUUGAAAUCUGGUUGAUGUGCUUCUUGGAAGCUUAGGUGUUAAUAGCUUCUCUGGCUAUCCAUAUUUGGCUAUUUGUGACGUGAGAUGGACCACUGCUGUGGGUGUCAUCAAAUUCGUGGACCAGAAGGCUGCUGGAGCUGGUCAGGUCACUGUUUGCUCCGAAAACUGAGUAAGGUAAACAAAUAUUAUCCCCAGUAUCCGCCAUCCUAGUCUUAAGCAGACAGGUGGGAGAAGGUAUCAGAAGUGUUUCUCUCAACUGGCCUGUUUAAUAGUAAAAGUUUGGUUAAUAACAAUGCAUUGUAAAACCUGCAGAGGGAAAGGAGGGUGUUUUGUGGAUCAUUUGAUUAUUUUUCUGUGGCAAUUGUAAGUUGCUUGUUUUUAAAAUCAGUGUUUUAAUGAAAACAACUUGACCAAAAAUCUUGAAUUUUGAGAUCCUUUAAAACAAAAUUUAAUGAGAAAAUUCAGUGUAAAAAAAUAAAAU